GGGUUGUGAGGUUAAGCGACUAAGCGUACACGGUGGAUGCCCUGGCAGUCAGAGGCGAUGAAGGACGUGCUAAUCUGCGAUAAGCGUCGGUAAGGUGAUAUGAACCGUUAUAACCGGCGAUUUCCGAAUGGGGAAACCCAGUGUGUUUCGACACACUAUCAUUAACUGAAUCCAUAGGUUAAUGAGGCGAACCGGGGGAACUGAAA
This 206-nucleotide ribosomal RNA is filed under the name Shigella sonnei. RNAcentral describes it as "partial 23S ribosomal RNA". It matches the Rfam family "Bacterial large subunit ribosomal RNA", at positions 1 to 198 of the family's 2925-position model. The record is from RNAcentral. Lineage: Bacteria; Pseudomonadati; Pseudomonadota; Gammaproteobacteria; Enterobacterales; Enterobacteriaceae. RNAcentral also lists the same sequence under 1 other name.